GACGUAGGAUGCAAGCGUUGUCCGGAUUUAUUGGGCGUAAAGAGUUCGUAGGUGGUUUGUUAAGUCUGAUGUUAAAGACCGAGGCUCAACUUCGGAAAUGCAUUGGAUACUGGCAGACUCGAGUAUGGUAGAGGCAAGUGGAAUUCCCAGUGUAGCGGUGAAAUGCGUAGAUAUUGGGAAGAACACCCGUGGCGCAAGCGACUUGCUGGGCCAUAACUGACACUGAGGAACGAAAGCCAGGGGAGCGAAUGGG
This 253-nucleotide ribosomal RNA is filed under the name uncultured bacterium. Its description in RNAcentral is "partial 16S ribosomal RNA". It matches the Rfam family "Bacterial small subunit ribosomal RNA", at positions 524 to 776 of the family's 1533-position model. The record is from RNAcentral.